GACGAACGCUGGCGGCGUGCUUAACACAUGCAAGUCGAACGGAAAGGCCCUGCUUUUGUGGGGUGCUCGAGUGGCGAACGGGUGAGUAACACGUGAGUAACCUGCCCUUGACUUUGGGAUAACUUCAGGAAACUGGGGCUAAUACCGGAUAGGAGCUCCUGCUGCAUGGUGGGGGUUGGAAAGUUUCGGCGGUUGGGGAUGGACUCGCGGCUUAUCAGCUUGUUGGUGGGGUAGUGGCUUACCAAGGCUUUGACGGGUAGCCGGCCUGAGAGGGUGACCGGCCGCAUUGGGACUGAGAUACGGCCCAGACUCCUACGGGAGGCAGCAGUGGGGAAUAUUGCACAAUGGGCGGAAGCCUGAUGCAGCAACGCCGCGUGCGGGAUGACGGCCUUCGGGUUGUAAACCGCUUUCGCCUGCGACGAAGCGUGAGUGACGGUAAUGGGUAAAGAAGCACCGGCUAACUACGUG
Molecule: ribosomal RNA, 468 nt
Filed under: uncultured bacterium
Lineage: Bacteria
Description: partial 16S ribosomal RNA
Rfam family: Bacterial small subunit ribosomal RNA
Source: RNAcentral